CACGUAGGGGCCGAGCGUUGUCCGGAGUUACUGGGCGUAAAGGGCGCGCAGGCGGUCAUUCGCAUCCACGGUGAAAGCCCCGGGCUUAACCCGGGAGGGUCCGUGGAGAUGGGGUGACUGGAGGCAGGGCGAGGCCGGUGGAAUUCCGGGUGUAGUGGUGAAAUGCGUAGAGAUCCGGAGGAACACCAGUGGCGAAGGCGGCCGGCUGGACCUGACCUGACGCUGAGGCGCGAAGGCGUGGGGAGCGAACGGG
This 253-nucleotide ribosomal RNA is filed under the name uncultured bacterium. RNAcentral describes it as "partial 16S ribosomal RNA". It matches the Rfam family "Bacterial small subunit ribosomal RNA", at positions 524 to 776 of the family's 1533-position model. The record is from RNAcentral.